RNAcentral lists this ribosomal RNA (474 nucleotides) under uncultured bacterium. Its description in RNAcentral is "bacterial SSU rRNA". It matches the Rfam family "Bacterial small subunit ribosomal RNA", at positions 329 to 793 of the family's 1533-position model. The record is from RNAcentral.
CAGUCGACUCCUACGGGGAGGCAGCAGUGGGGAAUAUUGCACAAUGGGGGAAACCCUGAUGCAGCCAUGCCGCGUGUGUGAAGAAGGCCUUCGGGUUGUAAAGCACUUUCAGUAGGGAGGAAGGUAGUGUAGUUAACACCUGCAUUAUUUGACGUUACCUACAGAAGAAGCACCGGCUAACUCCGUGCCAGCAGCCGCGGUAAUACGGAGGGUGCGAGCGUUAAUCGGAAUUACUGGGCGUAAAGCGCAUGCAGGCGGCCUGUUAAGUCAGAUGUGAAAGCCCGGGGCUUAACCUCGGAAUUGCAUUUGAAACUGGCAGGCUAGAGUCUUGUAGAGGGGGGUAGGAAUUUCAGGUGUAGCGGUGAAAUGCGUAGAGAUCUGAAGGAAUACCAGUGGCGAAGGCGGCCCCCUGGACAAAGACUGACGCUCAGAUGCGAAAGCGUGGGGAGCAAACAGGAUUAGAUACCCUGGUAG